RNAcentral lists this unclassified non-coding RNA (397 nucleotides) under Hevea brasiliensis (rubber tree). The record is from RNAcentral. Lineage: Eukaryota; Viridiplantae; Streptophyta; Magnoliopsida; Malpighiales; Euphorbiaceae.
ACUUCUUGUAACCUGCCCAUCAGCGAUGAUCAUGAGAACAUGAUACUGGCCACCACUAUUGUCCACAAUUCCGAUGGCAGUUUCAAUGAUUGGGGCAAAAGAUGUUGGUCCAGCUAAAUGAACAUUUGGAACUAUUUCUCUGUAACGACUCAGUACUUCCUCGAAGCCAUUACAAGGCCUAUCUUCUGGAUGGAAGCUAAAAACUUCUUGAUCAUGAGUAGUGGCAUCGCCAAAACCAUAACAAGGAAUAAGGCUAUCCUCAUCAAAAUCUGAAAGUGUUCUUCCUAUUAUGGAUAUUGCCUGUUCAUAAGGAUUCGGAGAAUUCCCCAGGUGAUGCAGGCUCUUCCUGUGGAAAGACCGCGAGCCAGUCCAUUCAUUGCUUUUUGUGAAAUCAAUG